AGGAGUCGUGGUGGUGUCUGUAGUUGUGCUGGCAGUGGCUGUCGUCUUAAUAUCAGCUGCAGUUGUGGUGGCAGGUGGCUGCUGUUGUGGUAGCGGAUAAAGUUGUGGUGGCAGGGGUUGUCUUAGCAGUGUCUACAGUUGUGGUGGUAGCGGCUGUUGUCGUAGUGGCAGCUGCAGUUGUGGUUGAAGCUGCUGCUCUUGUGGUACCAGCUGGAGUUGUGGUGGCAGUUGCUACUGUUGUAGUGGCUGCUGUAGUUGAAGUGGCGGCUACAGUUGUGGUGGUGGCGGCUGCUGUUGCUGUGGUUGCAGGGGCUGUUGUAUAUAUGGCUGCAGUUGUGGUGGCAGGGGCUGUCGUAGGGACGUCUGCAGUUACGGUGGCAGGGGC
RNAcentral lists this long non-coding RNA (385 nucleotides) under Salmo salar (Atlantic salmon). RNAcentral's name for it is "lncRNA (ENSSSAG00000097819.1)". The record is from RNAcentral. Lineage: Eukaryota; Metazoa; Chordata; Actinopteri; Salmoniformes; Salmonidae.